AUGCUCCUCUUGUCCAUGGACCACGACUACCUCGUCCUCUGCAACCCAGCUAGCUGUGAGUAUGGUCGGUUCCAUAUGCUGGCUGGCUUCGUCCCCUUGGGGAUGUGCUCGCACAGCCCAACCGGCAUGUACCGGCUAUUGAUGUACCAGGUAUCCUUCGGAUUGUCACCUAAUGUUAAAGGUGACUCCUAUGUCUUUGUACUAGGCUCUGACCAGCCACCCAGGCACAUAGGGUGCCCCGAUGUGCAUGAGAUGAUACUGGCCCUGCCCAUAUUGUUCCGUGGUGCUCUGCAUUGGCACAAAGAGCAGCAUGACAGUGGAAUCAGCAAAAUAUUGGUGUUUGACACCAUCGCUGAGUCAUUCCAGUACAUCCACCCUCCGACUGUUCCUGGCUGUGCUAACAUUUUUGAGAUGGAUGGAAUGCUCGGCAUGUCCAGAUUUAAUCAUGCAGCGACAACCAUUGAUAUUUGGAUGAUGCAGGACUAUGUGAGUGAGGUUUGGGCAAUCAAAUACCAGGUUAAGUUGCCGGUUCCAGAGCUCACACUUAAGUUUGGAAGUUUUAACAAACAGCGGGGUGUGGUAGCCUGUUUUUGGGAUGGUGAUUUGCAAGUACUAGUCAAAUUUGGCGAUUGGCUGCUUCAGGUUGAUGUGGACGGCAAGUUGGUUGCUAGUUUUCAUUGCAAACUCAUAGAUUACACUCAAUUUUGUCUGAAAGGAUCUCUCGUUCCACAUACCUUCUUUCCGACACUAGAGCGUUAUGUUGUGAACGCUUCUCCUUUCAUCUGA
Molecule: ribosomal RNA, 786 nt
Filed under: Triticum aestivum (bread wheat)
Lineage: Eukaryota; Viridiplantae; Streptophyta; Magnoliopsida; Poales; Poaceae
Description: partial small subunit ribosomal RNA
Source: RNAcentral